UUCGCAAUGCCCGAAAGGGUGACGAAGCGACGCCGCGUGUGGGAAGAAGGCCUUCGGGUUGUAAACCACUGUCGGGAGUUAGGAAAUGUAGGGGUGUGAAUAGCGCCCCUGCUUGACUACAGUUCCAGAGGAAGCCACGGCUAACUCUGUGCCAGCAGCCGCGGUAAUACAGAGGUGGCCAGCGUUGUUCGGAAUCAUUGGGCGUAAAGGGCGCGUAGGCGGCCCUGCAAGUCGGGUGUGAAAGCCCCUGGCUUAACCAGGGAACUGCAUUCGAUACUACAGGGCUUGAGGGCAGGAGGGGAGAGUGGAACUUCUGGUGGAGCGGUGAAAUGCGUAGAUAUCAGAAGGAACGCCGGCGGCGAAAGCGGCUCUCUGGUCUGUAACUGACGCUGAGUGUGCGAAAGCUAGGGGAGCAAACGGGAUUAGAUACCCCGGUAGUCCUAGCCGUAAACGAUGGGCACUAA
This 464-nucleotide ribosomal RNA is filed under the name uncultured Planctomycetota bacterium. Its description in RNAcentral is "bacterial SSU rRNA". It matches the Rfam family "Bacterial small subunit ribosomal RNA", at positions 365 to 819 of the family's 1533-position model. The record is from RNAcentral. Lineage: Bacteria; Pseudomonadati; Planctomycetota.